CUGCUUUGGAUUCUCUUUUUUUUAAACAAAGGACAACAUAAUCAGAAAAUGUGAGAGAACGCAUUCAUCUUCCUCACAAAGAAACUCUCUCUCCCUCACUCGUACUCAUCACCUCUCCAUCUCUCUCAACCUAAAAUUUUCGUACCUCUCUCAACCGCUUCCAAAUCGCGUCUCUCUCACCCUCAACCAUCUCAAACCUUCGUACUCACCUCUCUCCCAAUCGCUUCCAAUCGCGUCUCUCUUCUCACGAACUCGCUCUCAAUCUCUUCUUCGCUCUCAAUCUCUUCUUCUCACCAAAAACCCCUCUCUCGCGUACGACAAAAAAAAUCAAUGGCUGAACAAAACAAAAAAAGCUCACCUUCGGACCUUCGACGGCAACGACAGCUCAGGGUUUCGGUUGGUGUAUAAAGAUUCAAAGGAGAAAGCUUUCAGAAGUGCUUUUUCAUGCUCAGAAGUGCUUCUAUCUUGUUUGAUGCUAUCUUCCGGAAAGGUUAAUGGCUUGGAACUAGAAAUUUGCAUUAGCUUGCUCUUGCUUCAGGGUCCAUGUUUUGCAGCAUGUUCUACUGUUUGGGUUCAUGCUCAUUCUGACCAUCUGCUCAUGAAGUGGAUAAUGGCAUAAAACAAGAUAACCUCAAGUUCACCCUUUGAAAUGCUCUGCGGGAGCUAUGCAGGUACGAAGAAGCAAGGGAGGAAGAGAAAUUGCGUAGUCAACGAGAAGAUUUCAGUGACAUGGUGGCAGAGGGGCGGACAAUGAGAGGCUCAGUCUGUAGAGUUGCCUUGGCCUCAACCAGUUUUGCUUGUGCUCUUUCAUAUAGUCCUGGAGAUCCAUCAAAUAAAUGGAAACGAGCAGAUGUGUCUUCACAACGGAUUUCAGGUGCCGUAACCAUUGGAUUCUUGAAACAUUAUGGAUUUUAGGCUUUAUCAACACAUAUCUUUGCUCCAAAGGUUUGGGAUACUUGAACAAGGAUGUCUUCCUGACCCAGGACAUCACAGGUAGGAUACACUUUCGAUGCAUCAGGAUGCUUCCAUAUACAAUUAACAACCUUUUUUUUCCUUCCGUCCUACAUACUUAUCAGGUGAAUUGAGAAGACAUUCAAGGUUGAGUCUGCAAUCUCCUGUGUGUAAAAUAUUCCCAAAUUGGCCUUCAACUCUUUUGUUUUAAUCUGUUAUGGUGUUGAUUGCUUUAGGUAUUUUUGCAGGAUGUUACAGGUUGUUGCUGUCAUGAAACUUACCAUGGAACCGAUUUUAUUAUGCAGGUCGUGGAUUCCGAGUCUUCAAAGCAAAGCAAAAUGGCUUGGCGCGUUGCGAACUCCAUACCAGCUGUUGUUGGAUUCGUACCGUGGUCUUCAAAGAGACAUAAUUAUGAUUGAAUUGCACUGUAACUUGUAUUGUUUGAAAUGUAUUCUAACAACCACGUAACACUUUUGUUCAAAAUGGAAGGCUCUUUGCAAUUAAGGAAUAGCAUUUCAAUUGUCUCCAAUCAAAUUUUCAUGCUUAUUUUGCGUCACUUGUGAAACAAAAAACAA
Lathyrus oleraceus (garden pea) is the source of this 1526-nucleotide long non-coding RNA. RefSeq lists it as uncharacterized. The record is from RefSeq and is a predicted model, not a curated record. NCBI's taxonomy places the organism in Eukaryota, Viridiplantae, Streptophyta, Magnoliopsida, Fabales, Fabaceae. The transcript is spliced from 3 exons.